RNAcentral lists this ribosomal RNA (489 nucleotides) under uncultured bacterium. RNAcentral describes it as "bacterial SSU rRNA". It matches the Rfam family "Bacterial small subunit ribosomal RNA", at positions 28 to 511 of the family's 1533-position model. The record is from RNAcentral.
GAUGAACGCUAGCGGCAGGCUUAAUACAUGCAAGUCGAGGGGCAGCAGGGGUGUAGCAAUACAUCUGCUGGCGACCGGCAAACGGGUGCGGAACACGUACGCAACUUACCCAUAACUGGGGGAUAGCCCGGGGAAACCCGGAUUAAUACCUCGUAAGAUAAUGGAGUGGCAUCACUUUAUUAUUAUAGCUCCGGCGGUUAUGGAUGGGCGUGCGGCUGAUUAGGUAGUUGGUGCGGGAACGGCCCACCAAGCCUGCGAUCAGUAACUGGUGUGAGAGCACGACCAGUCACACGGGGCACUGAGACACGGGCCCGACUCCUACGGGAGGCAGCAGUAAGGAAUAUUGGUCAAUGGACGCAAGUCUGAACCAGCCAUGCCGCGUGAAGGAUGAAGGUCCUCUGGAUUGUAAACUUCUUUUAUAUGGGACGAACCCGGAAUUCCUUCCGAUUGACGGUACCAUAGGAAUAGCACCGGCUAACUCCGUGCCAG